UACGUAGGUGGCAAGCGUUGUCCGGAUUUACUGGGCGUAAAGGGCGUGCAGGCGGUUUGUUAAGUGCAGGGUGAAAGCUCCCGGCUCAACUGGGAGAGGUCCUUGCAUACUGGCAAACUCGAGGGAGGCAGAGGAAAGUGGAAUUCCCGGUGUAGUGGUGAUAUGCGUAGAUAUCAGGAGGAACGACCGGUGGCGAAGGCGGGUCUCUGGGCCGAGUACUGACGCUGGAGGAGCGAAAGCGUGGGGAGCAAACAGG
Molecule: ribosomal RNA, 256 nt
Filed under: uncultured bacterium
Lineage: Bacteria
Description: partial 16S ribosomal RNA
Rfam family: Bacterial small subunit ribosomal RNA
Source: RNAcentral